RNAcentral lists this small RNA (50 nucleotides) under Deinococcus gobiensis I-0. Its description in RNAcentral is "hypothetical noncoding RNA". Lineage: Bacteria; Thermotogati; Deinococcota; Deinococci; Deinococcales; Deinococcaceae. The record is from RNAcentral.
UUUUGCUCCACAAGCCACAAGCGACGAGCCACACGCUUCCCCGUAACACC